This is a non-coding RNA of Pteropus alecto (black flying fox), 119 nucleotides long. Lineage: Eukaryota; Metazoa; Chordata; Mammalia; Chiroptera; Pteropodidae. The record is from Rfam.
GUCUACGGCCACGCCACCCUGAACGAGCCCGAUCCCAUCUGAUCUCAGAAGCUAAGCAGGGUCGUACCUGGUUAGUACUUGGACGGGAGACCACCUAGGAAGACCAGGUGCUGUAGGCA